CAAGGUACGAGGACGAAGCGCUUGCGUACCUCGCGAUACACAAAGACAAAUACAAACCGACGGAAUAUUAUUCAAUCUCUCGAAUCAGCGUACUACUGAACGUCAUACGACGCGUAGACACGGAAAAACGAAAACCGCAACGGCGUACCAAACCAUGUGGAAAACGGAACUGCGGGACGAGCGCGAAAGCAGAUGUCGACGGUCUGAC
Cinara cedri is the source of this 208-nucleotide non-coding RNA. The record is from the annotation of a GenBank genome assembly. Lineage: Eukaryota; Metazoa; Arthropoda; Insecta; Hemiptera; Aphididae.